AAAUCAGAAGAUCCGUUUAUUUGUCCUCAGCUAUGCAUACAGAGUACACAUAUGUAGGAUCAGGUCUGUCCAUUUUCGUCAUUUUAAACAUUAUACUAAGUGUAUUUUAUGA
Molecule: small nuclear RNA, 112 nt
Filed under: Cryptosporidium parvum
Lineage: Eukaryota; Apicomplexa; Conoidasida; Eucoccidiorida; Cryptosporidiidae
Source: RNAcentral